AUGGCAGCACCUAAAGAAGGAUUUGGAUUUUUCUUUGUUUCUCACACUCAUCAGCUAACAACUAUUCAUAAAAGUUAUGGUACAGUUGCACGAUACUAUCAAUUCAAUCUAAGUGCAAGGAUCAACACGACCACCACUGAUGAGUUUAAUCCUUACGGGAGUACGUCGACAUCUUCUCAGCCACCUCCUCCAUAUUGUUAG
Vicia faba (fava bean) is the source of this 201-nucleotide non-coding RNA. NCBI's taxonomy places the organism in Eukaryota, Viridiplantae, Streptophyta, Magnoliopsida, Fabales, Fabaceae. The record is from the annotation of a GenBank genome assembly.